GUCUUUUGAGUAUAAGAUAGUACACUUGCCUUCCAAGCAAGAGGUUUAAAAAAUUUAAAAAAGAUA
Molecule: transfer RNA, 66 nt
Filed under: Neptunea subdilatata
Lineage: Eukaryota; Metazoa; Mollusca; Gastropoda; Neogastropoda; Buccinidae
Description: tRNA-Gly
Rfam family: tRNA
About the family: Transfer RNA (tRNA) molecules are approximately 80 nucleotides in length.
Source: RNAcentral